This is a long non-coding RNA of Mastomys coucha (southern multimammate mouse), 724 nucleotides long. RefSeq lists it as uncharacterized. Lineage: Eukaryota; Metazoa; Chordata; Mammalia; Rodentia; Muridae. The record is from RefSeq and is a predicted model, not a curated record. The transcript is spliced from 4 exons.
CAGGCCUCAGAAUGCCUACAUGCACCUCAGAGUUUGUAGCACCAGCUAGCAACCUCGCCCACUCCUCUGACAGUGUUCUGCCCUGCCAGUGUGCCAGAUUGAGCCCUAUCUCCAAACACAAGCCCCUUAACUCAAAAAAUAGUAUCCAGUGUGGGACAGCCUCAUGGUGAAUGCUACCAAGUCAACUUUGUUAAAUACCCCCACUGCUGCUGCUUCCAAAAACCUGCUUUAUUAACAUGCUAGCAUGAUAUGCCCACAUUUUAACACAGAGGGCCUACAGACAGAUCCCUUAGGAGAUGAUGCUUAGAGACACGACCUCCCACUCAUGGAGAGAGGACUCAGUCAGGAGCAAGUGAGUUCCAGAACACGCCCCACAGCAGCUGCCCUGCAGGCGAAACAACAGCCUCUGCCACUCACGAGCCACGCCAAGGGUUCUGCGCUCUAGGAAGGACUGGCACACUUACUCUAGCAAUAUAUGGAGGUGCACUACGACCAGAAGAGUUUUCAAAGAUUAACAUCAUACUGAGGAGGCUGAGGACCAGCCUGGGACACACAGACUUCCAGCUGUGCCCAUCAUCAGAUGUACAUCAUCAGACGCCCAGUCUCACAGCUGCUAUACAGGCCAGCUGCCAAGGGAAACUGACAUCAUGUGACAAACUGCAGCCAACAAAUAAAGCCUGUGGAUUUGUUGCUUUUUAAUAAAUUCUGAUAUUGUAGAAACAGA